CGUCCUUUCUCCUGAUCCCGCCUCUCAGCUGUCAGAGAUCUGACCCGGGGAACGGUGCCCCCAGAACUACUGCUCCGGAUUUCGGAGGAGGUGGGAAAGGAGUCCUCUCACUGCCCCACAUUCCACGGCUUUGGAGAUUCCUCGAUGGCACCCGCAUCCCUCUGUGAGCCAGGGUUGUACUAGGAAUGAUCACGGAUCAGGGAGGGGUAUCCUUUUCAUCCGCGGAGGAGAGAGGGACUCCCCGCACCCUACACCUGACUGCGGCGGGGUGUGUUCGUGUGUGUGCGUGUGUGCGCGUUUGUGUGUUCCUGCUCUAUGAGACUUUUCCCUCUUGUACCUUACAAACCACGCUGCCUUCUGGAGAAUGUAAGUCUCAGCGGGUAACUGAUUCACAGAUCCACUGCAAGUCGUUACAGGGUCUCCUCCACCUCAUCCAGUCCGAACGAGCGGCGAAGCCCGGGUUCAGCAGGCAGAGGCCGCGCCUCAGGGCUCUCCCCACCGCGCCCAGUGUCCGCCGCUCUCACCGCCCUUCUGGGCAGGCUCGGAACCACCAGAGCCUGCGGGACGCCCUUCGCCUCUCCCUCCACUCCAGGGACACUUGCAUAACGUGGAUCUAGAGCAACUCCUUCGCGUUGACCGCGGACGCCCCAGGGCCCGGGCAGCGACCCGCAGGUGGAAGCCGGGUGAAAACUGCCAAGGAGGGAGGUCAGCCCAGCGCGUCCUUGAGAACCCCAUGCUCCUGCUAAACAGGACCCCAGGCGGAGGGAGCUUAGCGCAGAAGUCGGCGCUCAGCCAGCUCAGAGCUGGGUCCGCCGCACGCAGCCCCCGCGCCCCGCGCUGGCCCCGCCCCCGCGGCCCAUACCUGACCCACGUCCUCGCUGGCUUCCAGCUGCACGUUGCCGCGGCUCCGGCUUUCGCUGUCGCUCAGCAGAUCGUCCUCUGAGUCCUCGGGCAGCGACGAGGAGCCAGUAGAGGAGAGCGACGAGGUGGAGAGGCGGCGCGGCUGCUGCAGGUGUGAGGAGCCCACCGCCGGGAGCCAGCCACCCUCCGGCUCCGGUGGCCCCGGGCUGGUCGGGGGUACGUCCGGCUCCUCAGCUGUCACAGUCAGCUGCGGGAUCACCGGGGCAGGGGGAGCCCGCGGAAGCCCGUUCGGGACCUGUCCCCCACGCCUUUUGGCCCCGCGGGCCCGGGGCUCCCCUGCGGCGGCGGCGGCAGCGACCGCCGCGCAGCGCGCCUCGAAGAGCAGGCGCAGCUCCCCAACACUCCGGCGCGGAGCCCGCUCCAACCCCGGGCUGCAGGGCCCCGCGCCCCCCGGCCGCGCCAUGCUCGUCGGGCCCCCGGGCAGGGUCAUUUCCCCGCACGCGAGCCUCAGCGAAGCCCACCAGCCCGCGGCGCAGCGAGGACUGGAGACGCUCAGCGCCCCCGGCGCGAGACUGCCCCGAGGCGGAGCCUGCGCGGCUGCCCGCCUGGGCCCCGCCUCGGCCGCGCCCCCCGCCCACUCCUUUCACUUUCAGAGAAAGCGCGGGCCUCCAAGGGCUCCCUGUUGCUCCUCCAGGUGACCGGGAAGCUCAGACCUCGUGGACACAAAGUCAGGGCCUGGCCUUCGCAGCCUCUCUGUCCCCGCUCUCGAAGAGACCGGAGGGGUCGCUCCGGCCCCGGGCCCUACUGCCUUGGAGCUGGUCCUGCUCUCGCUCUCCUACCCAGUCCCUCCGGCUCCUUUCCACGAUCCAUCCUGGGCCAAGGAUUCCUGGUCUCCGGGCUUUCCUUCAGCAUGGAAUGCAAGGCCAUCAGCUUCCUGGGGAAGCCUCACCCCAGGGCGUGCGCCCAAGUGGGGACUCUGUCCUGGGCAAGACCUGAGGCUUCUUCCCCCCCAAGCUCCCCACUUCUCAGCCGGCAGAGAACAAGGUCAGGGGGGCGGGGCCUGAAUCUCGCGGCGAGUCCUGGCGCAGUCCUGGGCAGCAUCCCUUGGCUACUGGCUGGCAGGGGCUGUGCCCUUCUGACUCCUUUUUCUGUGGAAUUCGGAGCGUGGAGUCUGCUGUGUGAUCCUAAGCAAGUCAUUUCACCUCCUUGAACUGUUGAUUCUUUUCUGCAGGGUUGUCGUCUACCUCACAGAAUUGCUAGGAGAAUAAAAUAAAAUGAAAGAUGUAAAAUCUAUACAAUAUGAGAAUAGUUUUAGUGUGGGUGGUAGGAAGAGCCAGUCUCAGGUUCAUCACACUCUAGAUGUGAUCUUUGACGUCUCUUCCCUUUGUAAAUUUAGGGAAACCUCACCUGACCCAGAGUUGUGGCUGUGACAGGGUAAGAGAGCCAUGACGCUGGCUCAUCCGUGGCAUCGUGGUGCAGUAUUUGGCCACUUCACAAGUUAGUGGUCGGCUGAACUGCGGGACUGCUUUAAGUAGAGUUUGUAUUUCACAGCAUUUCUUGUCUUCCCCCAAAAUGCCACCGGGGAGGAUCCCUCCUCAGGUGCCUCGUGCCUCAGGAUUGUUGGGGACCCUGUGGGGCAGGAUGCCCCAGAAGGAUUGCCUCUGAUGCUGAUGAAGGCCAAAAGAAGCUCUCCUUCCCCUCAUCUCCCUUCAGCUAGAUUCAAGGAUGGCCAGGAGGAGACAAAAGGAGGGUUCACAGAGAGAGAAUGGGAAGCUUCAGCAGAGCAAAAAGGAGAAGGCACUUGUCCUAAGCCCAGAAACCAAAGAAGAGCUCUUUGCCAUAUUUUCCAAGUGGAAAGAACACCAGACCAGAUAUGGGAGCAACAACAAAAGAACAAAACUGGAAACCGAGAAAGACGAACACCUGUGGAGCAGAAUCUAUGGGAUGGGGAGGGAUAAGAAGGGCAGAAGACUGCUGCUUUUCACUAUAAAUCAAUACGUCUUAUGGGUCUAUGUGUGCCCACAAACACGUGGAUGUGAAGAGUACGUGUUACUUCAAUAAUUAAAAAAAUUAACUGGAGCAAGAUGUAUAGAAGAUUUCAUAUCAUUUUAUUAAUUAAAAUGGUCUUCAGUGAUCCAAAUAAAGUU
Prionailurus viverrinus (fishing cat) is the source of this 3008-nucleotide long non-coding RNA. RefSeq lists it as uncharacterized. NCBI's taxonomy places the organism in Eukaryota, Metazoa, Chordata, Mammalia, Carnivora, Felidae. The transcript is spliced from 4 exons. The record is from RefSeq and is a predicted model, not a curated record.